AUAGGUCUUGCUCCGUGAAAUGAAGUAUACCUAUCCAGAUUUUACAUAUAGUUAGUGAGCCUAAUAUUAAGAGGUUUCAUGAAAAGUUUGAAAUGGCUAUUGAUUACUGAAAAUCUGUUUAGAAGAAGGAAACUCGGCCUCCCUUCAGCUGAUGUCAUUUUUGAAAAUUGGGUUAACGCUAAGACUUUGUACGAAUUGCCGGCUGGAGCAGGUCACUGUAACAUAUAUGUAAAGGAAGUGACAGUAUUAUUCUGAGGAAAUGACCUUUCAGACUAUGCCAUGAAGACUUAGGUGGUCUCCAUGACAAUAUAAGAGAAGCUGCUACAGGGCAACACACUGCAGUGAAUUCAGGCUUACUCUUCAUCCAUCGGCUGGAAUCUGCUCAGAAGCAGCAAAUUAGCAUAAAUUCGGAUUUUCUUGACUAGUAAAACGUACUUUUUACAGAAAUACGGAUCACACUUAUAAGUUAAGUAUAUUUUCCAAGAGGUGAGUAAAUUAUUCUACCUAAGCAAGAUGGUUGGAUAAUAAUAAGCUGGCUGUAUCCCCUAGCUGCAACUACUUUCAUUCCUUUUACUGUACCUCCUUUCAUAUCUUUCUUUCAUUUUACUUUUCACCCUCUCCUAACAAUUGAUUCAUAGUGCAACUGCUUUGAGGCUUUCCUCCUGUCUUUCAAACUUUUUCAAUGUCAAUUUCCGUUUCAUCGCUGAAUGGCCUUAGUUGCCCCAGUGUUUGGCAUUAUGCCUAAAACCUGUAACUCUAUCAAUAAACAGGCUUUAUAGCCUUGUAUUAAAGUAGUUUUCCUCUUGAAGUAUUCUUUGAGAAUGAAAGUGUCCUCCUCGUUGGUGCUUUAUUUAAACUGAAAAUUAUACCGUGGUAUCACUGUGUAAGCUUGUCAGAAUGGAUUAUUUCAUUUUUACCAUUUAAACUUUUAUUUCUUGACACUCCCUUGGAAUGAUUCGCCAGAAAUUCUUGAGAAAUAUUCUUGUUUCAUGAAUUGUACACGCAAUAUUUUCAACUACAUUAUGAACGGUUAACUUGAAUAUGAGCCGUUCUUCUAUUUUGUAUUGUUUAAAGAUCGGGUAGCGAUAGUAUCAUUUUUGA
Long non-coding RNA from Macrobrachium nipponense, 1101 nucleotides. RefSeq lists it as uncharacterized. The transcript has 3 exons. The record is from RefSeq and is a predicted model, not a curated record. Lineage: Eukaryota; Metazoa; Arthropoda; Malacostraca; Decapoda; Palaemonidae.